CCCGCCUCCGUUCCCUCCUCCUUCCUGGCAGCAGGAUCCGGCCGCUGCGGCCAGAAAACUGCCCCCGGCCCCCAGAAGUGCGGUCCCAUCGCGGCGGCGCCCCAAAAUGAAGUGGUUUUGGGUGGUGGCUUUUGUGGCACCCGCCUGCGCUGCGCCCUACACGGCCGGGGACACCGGGGAUGGAGGCCCCUGUGCCCUGCAGCACGGCGUCCUGGGCACGGAGGUGCUGCUGCGGUGCCCGGCUGCCGGGGGGAGACCCGCCGAGUGGCGCCGGGGGGGGGCAACCCUAGGGACGUAUCCUGCCCCGGGGCUGGCCCUCCCCAACGCCAGCCUGGUCCACGAGGGACCCUACAGCUGCCACCA
Molecule: long non-coding RNA, 363 nt
Filed under: Anas platyrhynchos platyrhynchos (common mallard)
Lineage: Eukaryota; Metazoa; Chordata; Aves; Anseriformes; Anatidae
Description: lncRNA (ENSAPLG00000020740.1)
Source: RNAcentral